RNAcentral lists this unclassified non-coding RNA (684 nucleotides) under Hevea brasiliensis (rubber tree). Lineage: Eukaryota; Viridiplantae; Streptophyta; Magnoliopsida; Malpighiales; Euphorbiaceae. The record is from RNAcentral.
CUGACACUACUAAAUUGGGGAUGAAAGUAUUAUAAUCUCAAUGCCAAGAAAAUAUUUAUGAAAGAACAAUUAUACAUGUCAAAAUACAAAACACAUCAUCAGGGGCAAGCAAAUGGUUUUUUAUUAUGUUUCUGGUGUUCUGAUCAUUCACUCGUUGAGCUCAUCAAUUGGAAUGACUUAACCAGUAUACACGAGGCAAGUACCUAGUCCGAUAUCCCAACUCCAGUCGUGCUUAUCGUUGGUUUAUACCAUGUGAGAAGCCUGUCCAAACACAACCACUAUACCAGCUUCAUUGUUAUGAAGCUAGAGCGUUCAACUUCUUCUCAAACAUCUUAGCCCGCCGAAGGGCGUCCAAGGCCUCUGCCUGCUUUCCAGAACGUUUCAAGUUUAAUGCCUUUAAUUUCUCUGCCUUAACCCGCUCUUCCAACUGCUUUCUCUCAUUGGAAGAUUCAUCAGAUACACGUGCUUCAGGUAGUUUUGGCUCUGAUCUUUCAAGGAUUUGAGAGGCAAUAGUGCCAGUUUUAUCAGUAUCUCCACUUGUAGGUUUUCUUGUUUCCUGCCUUUCAGGGACACGGGGUACAACAGAGGUGUCUGCAAUUCCAAUUGCUUUUAAAGCAGAGAAAAGCUGAGGAUCAAGAAAAUCCUCAACACUGACACCCUCUGCUGAUUCAGCUGUGAGGUCAG